This 1172-nucleotide long non-coding RNA is filed under the name Phaseolus vulgaris (common bean). RNAcentral's name for it is "long non-coding RNA (PVUL_LNC004091)". Lineage: Eukaryota; Viridiplantae; Streptophyta; Magnoliopsida; Fabales; Fabaceae. The record is from RNAcentral.
GCUCGUGCGCGGCGGAGAGCUCUUCAACAAGGUCUCCAAAGGUCGGUUGAAGGAGGACGUCGCCAGACUCUACUUCCAGCAGCUGAUUUCCGCCGUCGACUUCUGCCACAGCCGCGGCGUCUACCACCGCGACCUCAAGCCGGAGAACCUCCUCCUCGACGAACACGGCAAGCUCAAGGUCUCCGACUUCGGACUCACCGCCUUCGCCGACCACCUCAAAGAGGAUGGGCUGCUGCACACCACGUGCGGCACGCCCGCGUACGUGUCGCCGGAGGUCAUAGCGAAAAAAGGGUAUGACGGUGCCAAGGCUGAUAUAUGGUCAUGUGGGGUCAUCCUCUACGUACUCCUCGCAGGGUUUUUACCCUUUCAGGAUGAUAAUUUGGUUGCCAUGUAUAAGAAAAUUUACAGAGGGGACUUCAAGUGUCCACCUUGGUUUUCCGUCGAGGCGCGAAGGCUUGUUACCAGACUCCUCGACCCCAACCCGAAUACCCGGAUCAGUAUCUCUAAAGUCGUGGAGUCUUCCUGGUUUAAGAAACCGGUGCCGAGAAAGGUGGAAGACGUGGCGGAGAUGGAUUUGGAAGAGAAGUGUGAGACGCCCGCCACCAUGAACGCGUUUCACAUAAUCUCGUUGUCAGAGGGGUUCGAUUUGUCGCCCCUGUUUGAGGAGAAGAAGAGGGAGGAGAUGAGGUUCGCGACGGCUGGGACGCCCAGCAGCGUGAUAUCGCGGCUAGAGGAGGUGGCGAAGGCGGGGAAGUUCGAUAUGAAAAGUAGCGAGACGAAGGUGAGGCUUCAGGGGCAGGAGCGUGGGAGGAAGGGAAAGCUGGCGAUUGCGGCGGAUAUUUACUCCGUGACUCCGUCGUUUAUGGUGGUUGAAGUGAAGAAGGACAAUGGGGAUACCUUGGAGUACAACCAGUUCUGCAGCAAGCAGCUUCGUCCUGCGCUUAAAGACAUCUUCUGGAAUUCCCCACAGAAUUCCACACCUGCCAUAGUGCUUGAAUGAAUAUAUAUAUGUGUACACUUGCAUGUGAUGUCUCACUCUCAUUGUUUUUUUUUUUUUUCUUGUUUAGGAACUUUAAGUUUUUUAGACAUGAAGGUAAGAGUUGUUUAAAGUCAUAGUUUGGUCUUUUGGGCUGGCUGGACAGUGGGUGCUCUCUGUGUAGCGUGAUUCUUUU